UGGCGGACGGGUGAGUAAUGUCUGGGAAACUGCCUGAUGGAGGGGGAUAACUACUGGAAACGGUAGCUAAUACCGCAUAACGUCGCAAGACCAAAGAGGGGGACCUUCGGGCCUCUUGCCAUCGGAUGUGCCCAGAUGGGAUUAGCUAGUAGGUGGGGUAAGGCUCACCUAGGCGACGAUCCCUAGCUGGUCUGAGAGGAUGACCAGCCACACUGGAACUGAGACACGGUCCAGACUCCUACGGGAGGCAGCAUG
This 255-nucleotide ribosomal RNA is filed under the name uncultured bacterium. Its description in RNAcentral is "partial 16S ribosomal RNA". It matches the Rfam family "Bacterial small subunit ribosomal RNA", at positions 96 to 353 of the family's 1533-position model. The record is from RNAcentral.